Molecule: ribosomal RNA, 334 nt
Filed under: uncultured soil bacterium
Lineage: Bacteria
Description: bacterial SSU rRNA
Rfam family: Bacterial small subunit ribosomal RNA
Source: RNAcentral
AGAUUGAACGCUGGCGGCAUGCCUAACACAUGCAAGUCGAACGGGAGUAGCAAUACUCUAGUGGCGGACGGGUGAGAAAUACGUAGGAAUUUGCCCUUAAGUGGGGGAUAACCCGGGGAACCCGGAUUAAUACCGCAUGACCUCGAAAGAGCAAAGUGGGGGAUCGCAAGACCUCACGCUUUUGGAGAAGCCUACGUCGGAUUAGCUAGGUUGGUGAGGUAAUGGCUCACCAAGGCGACGAUCCGUAACUGGUCUGAGAGGAUAAUCAGUCACACCGGAACUGAGACACGGUCCGGACUCCCUACGGGAGGCAGCAGUGGGGAAUAGUUAGGAC